Molecule: long non-coding RNA, 672 nt
Organism: Magnolia sinica
Lineage: Eukaryota; Viridiplantae; Streptophyta; Magnoliopsida; Magnoliales; Magnoliaceae
Exons: 4
Source: RefSeq, a predicted model, not a curated record
CCCCACUUCUCUCUCUCUCUCAUUCUCUCUCCAUCUCGACUCCCCAUCUCUCUCCAUCUCAACUCCCCAUCUCUCUCAAUCUCUCUCCAUCUCGACUCCCGACAAAAACAGCCCCAUCCUCGACUCCCCAUCUCUCUCCCUGCCCAUCCUCAUUUGGCCGAGCGAUGGUCUAAGGCCCUCCCUAUCCACGCACCACCUUCAUUCCUCUCUCAAUCACGACCUCCUCUUCUCUCUCUCUUUGUCUCUGAAGCUCGAUUGAAUUAGAUUCACGAACGCGAGUUUGACCACUAGUCUUUCGGUAGCUUAGAUUUGCAGCAUGGGAGUUCUGAAAGUUCAAAUAUGACAGAUGUUAGAUAAGGUUCAAGCCCAGGUUCAAAAGUCACUUGGGGAGUAUGUGUAGCAUGCACUUCCAUACAACAAGAUUUUUCUAACCUGACGGUGGUUUUUCCUCCUAGAUCUUUGCACACUGAGUAAUCGACCUCAGUCCGAGCUCUCCAGUUAGGUGGCAAUGUAGCAAUUUGUCCUCCAUGCUUGUUUGUAGGAGAUUGGUUUAAAGGCUUGUCUACAAAACUUAAUGUAAGAACUUAAAACUUGACUCACCUAGAACGUCUGUUAAGUCAAGCUGAGUUUAGUGACUAUGGUAUUUGUUCUGUUCCAUCAAAAUUUAGAAUC